UCCAAAUACAGAUAAUGCUAUAUACCAAUGGCCAAGGCCUUCACACUUUAGUGAUUUAUUUAAAGAUUGUUUGGAAAAGAAAAAAAUAUUUUUAAAGUUCAGGAUAUCCCAUAUAAGUGAACAAUUGAGCGGAGAAUAAAUGGAUCAGUGGAAAUAGAAAUCUAUGAUAUCAUUACAAAUGAACGCCAAGAAUCUGUAAUUGAAAUUGAUGGGUUCCAUAGUGAAGUAGAUAUGAUGGCUAUUCCUGGAAUUUGUACUGUGUUACAUGAAAGAGGCCCUUAUUGUUCUUUGGUCACCCAAUUAGUGAUUAAUUAAACAAAUACCCAAAGAGUUUGUUCUGCCACUGGAAAUUUUACCUGUAUUGAAACCAUUCCAGUGACUAAUAAUGUAACCUGUACCUUAUUGCAAUACACCCCCUCCUAUGCUAUUAAUGUCAAUGCCUUUUGAAAGUACCUGAGAAUAGUUAAAUAACAGAUGUGAUAUAGUACUACACCAAAGAGAAAUGGUAUUGAAAAUAACU
This is a non-coding RNA of Chelonoidis abingdonii (Abingdon island giant tortoise), 520 nucleotides long. The record is from RefSeq and is a predicted model, not a curated record. NCBI's taxonomy places the organism in Eukaryota, Metazoa, Chordata, Testudines, Testudinidae.